This is a long non-coding RNA of Bos taurus (domestic cattle), 1197 nucleotides long. The record is from Ensembl. Lineage: Eukaryota; Metazoa; Chordata; Mammalia; Artiodactyla; Bovidae.
GAAGUGGGGGCCAGCUCACCACGCAUGAGCCUCAGUCUCCCGCGUCACAGAGGCAGACCAGUCUCUGGACCCAGGAGACGACAGAGCGACCCUGACCCUGUGAUGAAUCUGCUCCUGAAAGCUCAGAGCCAUCCUGGGACCCAUGUGAGCAUCCCCGUUUGCUCAGGGAGGCGAGGGGACAGGGUGUCUCUACGUGGGCUCCCACGUCCAGCCUGCUGCCUUUGGCCAGGUCACAGCCAUCCUGGCAGGGUGGCUCCAGGGACACUCACCGCCUGCCCUCAGGGCUGCUGCCCCACAACUGGACCACCCCCCAGCAGCAGCGUGACCACCUCACAGCGUCCCGCACUGGCAGUGUGCAGGAGGGGAGGGAAGCAAGACCACAAGCUUGUCUGCAGAAGAUUCUACCCACGAUGGGAUAAAGCGGAAUUACACAUAACAGGAUUUGAUGAAAAUUCUUGUCUCUGGGGGCCCAAACUGGCAAUAGUGCCUUAUGAGGCCACAUCCACCCCUGCCACCGGUCAGAGUGCUUCUUGGUUGGUGCAUCUUGUCCUGAUCAAACUCGCUGCUUCCUGCAAAGUGGGGCGUGGGGCUGCCACAAAAGCAGAGAAAUGCCCGGAGAAGCAAGGGUUCCCAAGACAAACUCCUGUGCAUCCCUGGUGGGGAGUCAGUGCUGCGUGUCUGGAGGGGCAGUGAUCGCUAUAGAUGCUGGAAUUUAGCUCCUAGGAAUGCUGGGUUUCAGGGGAAUUCUGCAUACUCUUCAUUAUGAAUCAUAACAAAUUUAGAAAAAGUGCCACAGAGGGGUAUUGGUCAAUUAGCAAAUAAAAAGAAUCUGUGACUUUUCUAGGUUUCGUGAUUUUUGUGGUAUUCAUCCACUUCUUAAAGUUUGUCAUUUGGAGUGACUCUUUCAUUUUAUUUUUUAAUUUAAUUUUUUGUUUUUUCAAUUAAAAAAAAUAUAGUUGAUUUAUAAUGUCUCAGGUGUAUAGCAAAGUGAUUCAGUUAUACAUACACAUACACCACUUCUUUUGGAUUCUUUUCCAUUAUAGGUUAUUACAAGAUAUUGAAUAUAUUUCCCUGUGCUACACAGUAGGGCCUGGUUUAUCUAUUUUAUAUAUAGUAGUGUUUGUCUGUUAAUCCCAAGCUCCUAAUUACUCCCUCCCCCAGACUCUGUUAUUUUAAAUAAAUGCUCCCUUUUAUGCC